CCCUUAGAUGUCCGGGGCCGCACGCGCGCUACACUGAAGGAAUCAGCGUGGCUUUCUCCCUGACCCGAAAGGGUUGGGAAACCCGUUGAAUCUCCUUCGUGAUAGGGAUUGGGGCUUGAAAUUGUUCCCCAUGAACGAGGAAUUCCCAGUAAGCGCGAGUCAUAAGCUCGCGUUGAUUACGUCCCUGCCCUUUGUACACACCGCCCGUCGCUACUACCGAUUGAACGGUUUAGUGAGGGCCUCGGAUUGGUCUCGGCUCGCUCUUUACCGGGCGGCGCCGUUGGUCGAGAAGACGCUCGAACUUGAUCGUUUAGAGGAAGUAAAAGUCGUAACA
Molecule: ribosomal RNA, 334 nt
Filed under: uncultured eukaryote
Lineage: Eukaryota
Description: partial 18S ribosomal RNA
Rfam family: Eukaryotic small subunit ribosomal RNA
Source: RNAcentral